RNAcentral lists this ribosomal RNA (650 nucleotides) under Pseudogemmobacter blasticus. RNAcentral's name for it is "bacterial SSU rRNA". It matches the Rfam family "Bacterial small subunit ribosomal RNA", at positions 67 to 763 of the family's 1533-position model. Lineage: Bacteria; Pseudomonadati; Pseudomonadota; Alphaproteobacteria; Rhodobacterales; Paracoccaceae. The record is from RNAcentral.
CGAGGACUUCGGUCCUAGCGGCGGACGGGUGAGUAACGCGUGGGAACGUGCCCUUUGCUACGGAAUAGCCCUGGGAAACUGGGAGUAAUACCGUAUGUGCCCUUUGGGGGAAAGAUUUAUCGGCAAAGGAUCGGCCCGCGUUGGAUUAGGUAGUUGGUGGGGUAAUGGCCUACCAAGCCGACGAUCCAUAGCUGGUUUGAGAGGAUGAUCAGCCACACUGGGACUGAGACACGGCCCAGACUCCUACGGGAGGCAGCAGUGGGGAAUCUUAGACAAUGGGCGCAAGCCUGAUCUAGCCAUGCCGCGUGAGCGAUGAAGGCCUUAGGGUUGUAAAGCUCUUUCAGCGAGGAAGAUAAUGACUGUACUCGCAGAAGAAGCCCCGGCUAACUCCGUGCCAGCAGCCGCGGUAAUACGGAGGGGGCUAGCGUUGUUCGGAAUUACUGGGCGUAAAGCGCACGUAGGCGGACUGGAAAGUCAGGGGUGAAAUCCCGGGGCUCAACCCCGGAACUGCCUUUGAAACUCCCAGUCUUGAGGUCGAGAGAGGUGAGUGGAAUUCCGAGUGUAGAGGUGAAAUUCGUAGAUAUUCGGAGGAACACCAGUGGCGAAGGCGGCUCACUGGCUCGAUACUGACGCUGAGGUGCGAAAGCGUG